UGUCCGGCUCUCGGUAUGGCCAGCAUUAUGGGUUUCGGAGACCUGAAAAGCCCCGCCGGCCUCCAGGUGCUCAAUGAUUACCUGGCGGAGAGCUACAUUGAGGGGUAUGUGCCAUCACAAGCAGAUGUGGCAGUGUUUGAAGCAGUCUCCGGUCCCCCACCUGCCGACUUGUGUCACGCCUUACCUUGGUAUAAUCACAUCAAGUCUUAUGAAAAGGAAAAGGCCAGCCUGCCAGGAGUGAAGAAAGCUUUGGGCAAGUAAGGCCCUGCUGAUGUGGAAGACACUACAGGAAAUGGAGGGACAGAUAGUAAAGAUGACGAUGACAUUGAUCUCUUUGGAUCUGAUGAUGAAGAGGAAAGUGAAGAAGCAAAAAGACUACGGGAAGAACGUCUUGCACAGUAUGAAUCAAAGAAAGCCAAAAAACCUGCUCUUGUUGCCAAGUCUUCCAUUUUAUUAGAUGUGAAACCUUGGGAUGAUGAGACAGAUAUGGCAAAAUUAGAGGAGUGUGUCAGAAGCAUUCAAGCAGACGGCUUGGUCUGGGGAUCCUCUAAACUAGUUCCAGUGGGAUAUGGAAUUAAAAAACUUCAAAUACAGUGUGUAGUUGAAGAUGACAAAGUAGGAACUGAUAUGCUGGAGGAACGGAUCACUGCUUUUGAGGAUUAUGUGCAGUCUAUGGACGUGGCUGCUUUCAACAAGAUCUGAGAUCCAUCUGCACUUAAAAUAAAAGCUUGAAAGAUUAAAAAAAAAAAAAA
This is an RNA transcript of Otolemur garnettii (small-eared galago), 752 nucleotides long. It is a transcript of the gene named elongation factor 1-beta pseudogene, with no coding region annotated. NCBI's taxonomy places the organism in Eukaryota, Metazoa, Chordata, Mammalia, Primates, Galagidae. The transcript has a single exon. The record is from RefSeq and is a predicted model, not a curated record.